AUGGAGAGAAUUUUUAUUGGUGAUAUGUGUGACGGUGCUGCUGAUCUAGUUCAGAGCUCGGUUCGUCUGUUGAACAACAUGAAGCGUUUCAAAACUAUGCAAGACUCUCGCUGCAAGCCGUAUGAAGAAAGUGCAAAAGUUGUUAUCAGGCAGAUUGAGCAGGAUGAGGCUGCUGCCACCGACAACAGGGCUGGUGAUGGUACUGAGGCUAAUGUUCCUGAUCACGAAACGAAUGAUGUUGGCUUGGAGCGCGCUGUUGUUGAUAUUGAGCAGGAUGAGGUUGCUGCCACCGACAGCAGGGCUGAUGAUGGUACUGAGGUUAAUGUUUCUGAUCACCAUACGAACGAUGUUGGCUUGGAGCACCCUGUUGUUGAUGAGACCAGUCAUAAUGUUGAGGCUGCUAUUGACUGUGGAGUUAAUGAUCCAUCUACUGAUAAGUGCAAGGGUCCUGUUGUUGGCAACGAGCCUUGUUCGCCCGUUGGUGAUGUUGCUUUGAAUGUUAGCAACAACAAGAUCGAUGAUGUUUCUGUGAAUGCUUCUAAGAUGACUGAUGUUGAGCGUGAGGCUGUCGUUAGUGGUGGAGAUGAUGCUCAUGGUGUUCCAUUGAGUAGUGGGCGCGAUGUUGGUACCAAAGUUGCUGAUGAGGAUGUUGGUGCUGCUAGCAUACUUGAUGCCAAACCGUCUGGUGUUGGUAUUGCUGGGAAUGAAAAUCUUUCUGAUUUUGAAGAUUUGCCACCGGAAAAUUUCCCGCCUGGAGGGCUUGAUUACGGUGAUGCAUUGCAAGAUGCUUCUAGCGUGGAGGAGGUGCCAUCCGAGGGUGACGAUUUACUUCUGUCGAUUUCUUCUGGCCCCUUGAGGCAGGAGGCGCUCGUGUCAUCCCAGGAUUUUCUUUCCACAGACCCUGAAAGCGUAGCGAUAUUGGUGUCCUCUCAAGAUGUGCCAUCGUCAAACACUGAAACUGGAGGCAUAUUGGUCUCAUCACAGGAACUACCGUCGUUGUCAAACACUGAUAGUGCAGAAAGUGGAAAUGUUGUUAAGGUUGAUAUGUUUUUCUUCGCUGUUACGAGGUUGCGCACGAACCGUACGAAAUGUCACAAGCCGAUGUUUCAAAGUAAAGAAUGUGAUGCCAGUGUUGGUUCUAUUGCUAAAGCGUUUGUCCCCACUGGCAUGCUCAACUCAGACAGUGCUGGCGUUGUUUUAUAUUCUCUACGUCAGAAGUACCGAGACGCUGACAAGUUGAUAGUUCCCAGAUGGGUGACGACCAAGAUCCGUGAUGGAAAUAUUGAUUCCAACGUGCUAAAUUGGUUCACGAGAUCGUGUGAGUGGCUGGAUCUUAAUGAGCAUGACUACAGGAUCUUUGGCAGCCAGUUCUCGGAGCUCGAGCGCGUAUCUAUUGAUCUUAGCCAGGGGCGUUCUCCAGAAAAGACAAGGUCUGGUGUUAUUAAGGGGCGGUUGGGAGCUCUGAAAGGUUCUACGGCUGCUUGUGCAGAGAGCCCCUCUACACCCAAGAAUCCCAUUGUGGAAUUGAUAGACAGCGAUGAUGAUGCGUUUGACAAGAUUGCUGGCAUGGGAAGAGUCACCAGGAGCGCUGCUGCUGCCAAGGGUUUAUCCCCACUUGCUGGAAUAGUGUCCCGUAGAGCUGGUGGUGCUAGGAAGGAUCCUGCUUUGGAUUCUGGCAAUGUUACAAGCACGAAGCGUGCACCCAGAGCUCCUAUAAAGUUUUGCUCCCCUGUGCAGCAGCUUCACUCUCAUAAAUUCCCUCACCUGGACAAGGCUCGCAAGUUGUAUAAUCUAUUGCUUAGCGAUGAAGCAUGUGAGAAGUAUGCCGAGAAUACAUUCUCAAUGAUACCUCAGCCCGAUUAUAGCGUAACCAACAUCACUGGGAAACACAUCUGGGAAGUUUUUGCACCUGGGCAAAUGAUGGAGGGUGAUGUAAUGGACUUCCUUAUUGAUGAUUGGAAGAAAGAUCCCGAUAGAAAUGUUGAUUUUGCGUCUGGGAAAAGGGUAUUGCUGAGUCCAUAUUUCAUCACGGUUGUGCUUGACUGUACGUUUUACGGUGCUGAAAAUAAACCGUUUAAUAUCGAGAGUGCAACGAGAGAUUUCAAGAGCUAUGUCAAAGAAAAGGAAGACUUGCUCACUGCCGACCUUAUCAUGAUGCCUCUAUUCAAGCCUAUGGUUUUAGCAAAGGAUAAGAAAGUGAACCACUUUUCCUUAUAUGUCAUGAAUCGGUACCAAAGUAGCGUCGACAUCCUUGACUCUUUACCUUAUCCGAAGAACCAUCGUCCUUCAAAGAACACCUAUCAUAAAGACCGCGAGAAGAUUCCUCGUAUUGUUGAUUGGAAUGCUGAGGAUCUGUAUAGAGUUGUGUUCAACUGGAAUAACCAGCUUCUGGUGACUGAGCUUCCCAAGGAGUUUCAGCCUUUGGCUCCUGGUGCAUAG
Molecule: ribosomal RNA, 2439 nt
Filed under: Triticum aestivum (bread wheat)
Lineage: Eukaryota; Viridiplantae; Streptophyta; Magnoliopsida; Poales; Poaceae
Description: partial small subunit ribosomal RNA
Source: RNAcentral